This 475-nucleotide ribosomal RNA is filed under the name Gamszarea wallacei. RNAcentral's name for it is "SSU rRNA". It matches the Rfam family "Bacterial small subunit ribosomal RNA", at positions 371 to 884 of the family's 1533-position model. Lineage: Eukaryota; Fungi; Ascomycota; Sordariomycetes; Hypocreales; Cordycipitaceae. The record is from RNAcentral.
AAGUCUUAAAAGUCUUAAUUUGAUAUAAUAUUAGUAAUAAUAAAUACAUAUCUUUAAGAUUCUAUUAAAAUUGAAUAAAACUUUGUUUAUAUAUUGAUAAUGACAAUAUAUCUAUUGUGUCUUGACUAAUUACGUGCCAGCAGUCGCGGUAAUACGUAAGAGACUAGCGUUACUCAUCUUAAUUAGGUUUAAAGGGUACUCAAACGGUCUAAAUAUCUAGUAAAAUGAUAGUAUUUGACUAGAGUUAUAUAUAAGAAGGUAGUACUUGAGGAGGAGAGAUUAAAUUCAAUGAUCCCAAAGGGACUCGGUAAAGGCGAAGGCAGCCUUUUAUGUAAUAACUGACGUUGAAGGACGAAGGCUUAGAUCACAAAAAGGAUUAGAUACCCAAGUAGUCUUAGCAGUAAAUGAUAAAUGCCAUAUGUUAGAAAAAUCUAGUAUAUAAAUGAAAAUGUAAGCAUUUCACCUCAAGAGUAAU